Molecule: non-coding RNA, 31 nt
Filed under: Rattus norvegicus (Norway rat)
Lineage: Eukaryota; Metazoa; Chordata; Mammalia; Rodentia; Muridae
Source: RNAcentral
UCCUGACAUCAGAUGGGUCCUUUCCCUCAGC